Molecule: ribosomal RNA, 252 nt
Filed under: uncultured bacterium
Lineage: Bacteria
Description: partial 16S ribosomal RNA
Rfam family: Bacterial small subunit ribosomal RNA
Source: RNAcentral
UACAGAGGUCCCAAGCGUUGUUCGGAUUCACUGGGCGUAAAGGGUGCGUAGGUGGUUAGGUAGUCCGAUGUGAAUCUCCAGGCUCAACCUGGAAAUGGCAUUGGAUACUAUCUAGCUUGGAGGAGUGGAGGGGGGGACUGGGAAUUCUCGGGUGUAGCAGUGAAAUGCGUAGAUAUCGAGAGGAACACCGUGGCGAAGGCGAGUCCCUGGACAACUUCCUGCACUGAGGCACGAAAGCUAGGGGGAGCAAAC